CCUACGGGUGGCAGCAGUGGGGAAUAUUGGACAAUGGGCGAAAGCCUGAUCCAGCCAUGCCGCGUGUGUGAAGAAGGCCUUCGUGUUGUAAAGCACUUUCAGUGGGGAAGAAAGCCUUGGGGCUAAUACCCUCGAGGAAGGACAUCACCCACAGAAGAAGCACCGGCUAACUCCGUGCCAGCAGCCGCGGUAAUACGGAGGGUGCGAGCGUUAAUCGGAAUUACUGGGCGUAAAGCGCGCGUAGGCGGUCUGAUAAGCCGGUUGUGAAAGCCCCGGGCUCAACCUGGGAACGGCAUCCGGAACUGUCAGGCUAGAGUGCAGGAGAGGAAGGUAGAAUUCCCGGUGUAGCGGUGAAAUGCGUAGAGAUCGGGAGGAAUACCAGUGGCGAAGGCGGCCUUCUGGACUGACACUGACGCUGAGGUGCGAAAGCGUGGGUAGCAAACAGGAUUAGAUACCCUGGUAGUC
This 465-nucleotide ribosomal RNA is filed under the name Vreelandella stevensii. RNAcentral describes it as "partial 16S ribosomal RNA". It matches the Rfam family "Bacterial small subunit ribosomal RNA", at positions 338 to 795 of the family's 1533-position model. Lineage: Bacteria; Pseudomonadati; Pseudomonadota; Gammaproteobacteria; Oceanospirillales; Halomonadaceae. The record is from RNAcentral.